Molecule: ribosomal RNA, 330 nt
Filed under: uncultured bacterium
Lineage: Bacteria
Description: bacterial SSU rRNA
Rfam family: Bacterial small subunit ribosomal RNA
Source: RNAcentral
UCCGUAGGCGGUGUGGCAAGUCGGAAGUGAAAUCUCUGGGCUUAACUCAGAGGCUGCUUCCGAAACUGCCGUGCUAGAGUGCGAGAGAGGCAAGUGGAAUUGCGGGUGUAGCGGUGAAAUGCGUAGAUAUCCGCAGGAACAUCCGAGGCGAAAGCGGCUUGCUGGAUCGCAACUGACGCUGAGGGACGAAAGCUAGGGGAGCAAACAGGAUUAGAUACCCUGGUAGUCCUAGCCCUAAACCAUCAGGACUUGGGGUUUGCCCUGUACGGGGCAAGUCCCGUAGCUAACGCGUUAAGUCCUGCGCCUGGGGAGUGCGGUCGCAAGGCUGAA